AAAGAAAGAACCGGCAGAGAAGAAGAAAAGGGAAAGAAAAGAGGGAAGAAAAAGAAGAAGAAAAAGGAAAAAAGGAAGAAGAAAAAGAAAGGAAAGAGGUAGUUCAAGGUUCAUUUCAUUUUUCCUCUCUUUUUAUUUUCUUCAAGAGGUAGAUAUAUUUUAUGUUAAAUUUUAGGGUUUUAUUUUCGCUCGAAAAUUUUCAGAUUUUUGAGAGGAAUCCUACUUGGAGUUCAGGUUAUUGAUUCUUGAAUUUCUAUCUACACUAAGGUAAGGAGAUAAAAAUGGCGAACCUUAGUUUUUAAAUUUGAUGAUUGAGCAUGGAUUAUUUGUGGAAAUGAUUAUAUAAAUGGAAUAUUUCACUUGGGAGUUGAUUUUAUGGAACAAAAUGUAGAUUAAAUGGGUGGAAUUAUGGUUACUAGUUUCACUUGAUUGGAGAGUAAAAUUAGUUUUAAACUUGGGAAGAAGGUUAUGUUGAUAAUUAGUUAUUAGUCAAGAGAUUAUAAAGUGUGAUUAGCUCCAAUUAAUAAAGGAAAAUUUGAGAAUUUAUUCAAGUGUCACGAGAAUUUAAAUUAAGUUCUAUCAUUAGAUAUUAAAGUUUGUUGAUUAGAUAGAGGAUAAAUUGGUUAUUAAUAUCGUAUUUCAGGUGGUGACGAGGAAAUUGGAAACGUUUAUCAGGCAAUCUAGCUUGUAGCUCCUACCUUGUAAGUGGAUAAAACUUAUUUUUAAGAAAUAAGUCUUCUUUAAAUUUUAAUGUUAUUUAUUUUAUAAAGUUGACUUCAUAGCAUGAUUUUCAGAAUAAAAUGGACUUUAUUAUCAAUUGCUUUUAAAGUUAAAUUCAGUUCAGUUAAAUUAUUUUAGUAGCAUGUAUUAUAUUCUUAUUACAUAUUUCAGUAUAGUUAAAGUUAUUUCUAAAAACCACCAGAAAGUACCCAGAUGAUUUUACCCCAGUUUGCACUGAUGUGAAUGUGUUUCCAUAAUAUAUGACUAGUUAUAGUGAUUUUACUCGCUUUGCACUAUCGUGAAUGUGUUUUCAUAGUGUAUGACCAGAUUAUCAAUGAUUUUUGGGACCCACUCUCAUACACACAUAGGCUUUGGGCCGUGUACUAGGGUGAUUAGCCUUUGGGGCAGCUCUGCGUACGUAUGACCAGAUUAUCAAAUUAUCAAAUUUGAAUGGCUUUACCUUGUACAUCGAGAUUACUCUGUACAUGAGUAAGGCUAUUCAUUGGGUACUAUUUUUAGUGUGAUUUUUCAGUACUUAUUCAGUUCUCAGAUUUCAGAUUAUGGAAUUCAGUUAAUUCAGUUUUCAGAAUAAAGUUUUCAGCUUCUCGUAUUAAGUAGCAGCAAUAUUUCAUAGAUUUUCAUGAAUAUCAGAUUGUUUAUAAUUGUUAUACCUUACAGAUACUUAUCUAGAAGUUAGAACAAAGAAUUUUAUAAUGUAAUCUUAUUUAGUUUUUAAAGGCAUUACUAGAUUCAGAAAUUCUCAAGGAUUUAAUAAAGUUAAAAUUUUUAGAAAAUAUGCAUAAAUGGAAAAAGUUUACUUAUUUGCAAAUCAUCCACUCAACGAGUUACAAACUCAUAUUUUUGUCAUGUUUUUCCUUUUAGGAGACCGUUGAUUUUUGAGAUACUUGGAAAAGCCUGCUGAAGCGAAAGAGACCGUUUCAUAGUAUGUAAUGAAUAGUUGGGGGACUCAUGUUUGUUAAGUAUUUUGUCUAAUAUUUGGGGUGUCAUGCACUUUGUAGAAGGGUUUGUAAUUGAUGUAAUGCUUGCACGUAGACAUGAUGUUGUUGCAGAAGUACUCAGUCGAAAUUUGUUAUAUUUGUUUUAGUUGUGGUGGUAUUAGUGGAAGUGGUGGUUUCCAAAACUUUUGGUUUGAAUGUCUAUUCGAGGUCUUGAUGAUUUUUCAGGUUGGUUUUGUCCAUUUUUAAGGGGAAACUCUGUCAAAAUUUUCAUAGAAAUUUAGCAUAGUCAAAUUAGGUCAAGUUUGCCUAGGUGGUGGGUUUGGCAUUUAGCUGGCAUUUACCAUCGGCGCACGACACGCGUCGAGUCAAUUAGGUUGAGUCGGG
This 2063-nucleotide long non-coding RNA is filed under the name Olea europaea subsp. europaea. Lineage: Eukaryota; Viridiplantae; Streptophyta; Magnoliopsida; Lamiales; Oleaceae. The record is from RNAcentral.